CAGGCAGCUGCAGAAGGCUUAGAACUAAGUCAAAGCUGCCAGUGCAAGAAGUCUUCACUUGAUAUUGUCAUCAGACACCAACAUGUUUCUAGUAUAAGAAAAGUUCUGAAGAUUCAAAGACAAUGAAAAUGAAAAUCCAAUUUCCAUUGCAAGUGUCACAUAUAAAUGACUCUGCAUCAAGUGAUGAAUGUGACUGUGGACAUCUUUCCUAUACAAACAGAAUGUAGCCAUCUUUUCCAGAAUCAUUGGAUGAAUUAAGCAUGUGAAAGGAGGUACCACUGCAUUUCAAUCCAAAAGGAAUGAAGCAUUGUCUACUGGAGAGACAUGAACAAAAGUCUGGGGCCUUUGGCCAGAGGUAAUUUUCUGUGAAUGGAGAAUUGAUGAGGGAAGAGUGCAAGCCAGAAGAAUCGACCAUCUAAGGCAGCAGUUGAUAUGAUGUGGAUUUACUGCAGUGGCAGCAGAGGUGCUAAGGGUCCCGAAGAAAGCGAUGAACUGGAAUUCGGGAAAGAUGAUCCCAAAUGGAACAAAUUUGCUCUGUGAAACAGAAGUCUCAGGUGCUGCCAAGAAGUGGAGCCUCUUUCAGGAUGAAGAGCAUCAUUCUCCAGCCAGCAGGAGUGGUUUUUUUGAUGCUCAUGGCAGAGGCCCUUCUCAGGCACUGCUGUAGGAUGAUGGGAACUGUGUGACCCAGAUUUAUACCUCCUUUCAGGGGCAUGUUUAAUUCAAUAGUGGGUCCAUCGGGUCUAUCGGGUCCAUGCAACGUAGAAAAAAAAGCUGUGUGGCUGCCAAAUAAGCAAGUUGGUAAUAAUUCAUACCAAAAGUAUUCACACCCUUAAAAGUAAUGGAACCUUUGUUUUUCCCAGAUCACUUCCCCCAGAAAAAAUACACAUAAGAAAGUUGAAAAUGGAGUUUCUGUUUAAAAGAUGUCCCUUUUACCUUCUUACACUGGUUCACAGUUUGUGCAGUGGGGGCCCUCAUUCUACUUUUGCUCAUUCUCACUCUUCUCUUCUUCUUUUGCACUCUUAAAGUGGCAUCUGGAUCAAGUUGGAGGAGCCCCCUGGUCUCCUCAAAACAACAUCACUGUUCAAAAAGACUGCAUGACAGGAAUGCUCAGAGGGGAUUACACAGGGCAGGGUGUUGAUGCUGGAGGCUACUUGCUUUCUCUCAUCUUUGAAUGUGUACCAGUCAC
Molecule: long non-coding RNA, 1186 nt
Filed under: Heterocephalus glaber (naked mole-rat)
Lineage: Eukaryota; Metazoa; Chordata; Mammalia; Rodentia; Bathyergidae
Description: lncRNA (ENSHGLG00100035253.1)
Source: RNAcentral